Humulus lupulus (European hop) is the source of this 558-nucleotide long non-coding RNA. RefSeq lists it as uncharacterized. The transcript has 3 exons. NCBI's taxonomy places the organism in Eukaryota, Viridiplantae, Streptophyta, Magnoliopsida, Rosales, Cannabaceae. The record is from RefSeq and is a predicted model, not a curated record.
CGCUAAUAGUAUCAGCGGCGAGUAAUCACCUUUUAUUAGAGGCGGAUCCCGCCGCUAAUAAUAUUAAUGACGACGGGAGAAACUAAUAGCAGCGGGUCCCGCCGCUAAUGCUUAUGAAUACAAAUCAAAUUGGCACCAACUCUUCGCGUCUGUUCUCCUUUCUUCUUCUCCGAUUUCUUCGUCUUCUCCGACUGUCAUUCGCACCAUUUCUUCUUCUCCGAUCAUUCUCUUUGGUGCACAGAGAAGUAGCAUGUAACCCCGUCAAAUCAAUCUCUCUCUCUUUGGUCGUUUCCAUCAUUUGGCCACACACGGUUGUGCCAGCCACAAACCAGCCCCGCCGACGAGAAGAAAAUGUCGUGGCCCUGCUAGUAAUAAUGUUCUUGAAGAACGAAGGAAAAAAGCUGGGAAACCAUUGGAUCUGGAGCUUGAUCCUGUGACCAACAAAGUGGUUGGGCAGGAGGAUCAAGCUUUUAUUCGCAUGUUGGGAACUCUAGUUUCCAUUUUGUGUCCGGGGCAUUAUUUGGAUUUUGCUGAUGUACCUCAACAGUUUAAGGAUCA